AACCCUAUUUUCUCCAUAAGCCCUGUUAUUUCUAUUACGCAAAUUUGUAUAACACGAUGUUUUACAAGAACACAACUAUCGCGUUAUAGCAGAACUGACUGUAGUCACAAUGAAGUUUACCAUAACAAUUAUCCAUAAGAGAGAACACACUUUGUUGUACAGUAUAUCUAUUUAUAAUGGGUGACCAAAAGUCCAGCUGCUCAUAUAGAUGAAAACUUGUUUGCAUGUUAUAUUAUUUUUUCAUCUUUGUGCUAGUUUUUAUCACGAGAAGCUUAUGUUAGCCACUUUGUGCUAGUUUUUAUCACGAGAAGCUUAUGUUAGCCAUAUCACUGUCAGCAUUGUUGUUAGGUUUUUGUCAUUUUUAUGAGAUAAUUUCUAGAGUAACAGUACAUGAGGGCUCUAGCAUACAAAUCUGCCCAUGGUAACCAUCUAAAAUAUGCUCUCUAUCUCCAUUUCCUCAACAUUUUUUUAAAAUGUAUCAACUUCAAUCGAGGCCACAGCAGGAAAAGUUAGAUUCAUUUUUCAUACAGUAUAUCCCAAGGUUCGAUUGGGGAGUCAUGGUGGGGAUAUUCAUUUGUUUGUACUUCAAGACAAAUUUAUUUCAUAUGGAAAAAUGCAUUUUAUGUUGCAUUUAACUACAUCAAGAGUCAUUAUUGGCCAUGUUGGUUUAAGUGUACCCAAGCAUAAAAUGGUUUGGAUUUGAUCUGGAAUGUUACACUGCCUCCUCUGACUAGUAACUAGUUCAACUAAUAUCUAGACCAAUUCAAUGGGUUUUGGAAAAAAAAAUCAUCUUAAUAAAUUUGAUACUGUAAUAGAAAAAUGUUUGAUAAAGGGGUAAGAUCUUAGUUAAUUUCAAAACACAUCUGUAAAUCAUUUCAUCACCCCGUGUCAGUUUAGUUUGUCUAGUUUAUUAAUGAUUUACAAUACCUGUAUAAGCCACUGACCCCUUGAUCUCUAUUCUCUCCAAAUCCUCUUUUAAGUAAAAUUUUAUUUUAUUUUGUUUUGCUCUUAGCUUAUUUGUUUUAUUUAAAUUUGUUUCAAGAGCCUCAUUGAUUGUCCAGCCACCUCUCAAUUUACAUGAUAGUUAAGUUCUUAAAAAUGGUCGAGUAGUUCAAAACCGUGUAAAUAAAAAAUAUUAUCCCAUGAUGAAUGAUGUAAAAGAUUGAGGUUAGGUUUUUUUAUUAAUGAUUGUACUCUACUUAAUAUUUAAACAAUGAAAAACUACUGUACAAUCUUCUGCCAAAUCUUAUUAAAUUUUACUAAGUGACAGUAGAAACUGAGACAAAGGUAAUUCUGCCACUUACAUUGACUGCUUCUUCUGAUUGCAUGCUGGUGGUGGAGGUGAGGGGACUGGAAGAGUUAUUGAGGAAGGGGAUUAUCUGUGUCAGAUGACCAGGUUGGUGAAGGUGGUGAUGAUGCUUGAGCGGGUAAGAGAUGCAGCUGGCCUCUGACACCGAUAGAUGUUAGUGGCUUGUCGUCCUUAUGAUUUAUGUAUUUAUUUAUUAUUAUUUAUUUUUUAUUAAUUAAUUUAUUUUGUAAUGAAUGCAAUGUCAGCUGCGAGGCUUUCAUUGUCUUCCCAUGAGGGAUAUCUUUAUAGCAGUUGAUGUCUGCUAGAACAUUUUGGGACUUCCAGUCAUUUUGAUGUGGUAACUGCAACACUUCUGAAAGUUCACAAACCACCUAGAACUUGCAUUUAAUGCCAUCACUUCUCCAUCUUCUUCUGAUGCUAAGUCCUCAUAAAUGCUUUGUGCCUUGCUUGUAUCACAAGAAUGCUUAUGGGAACGUUUUGCUGGUUUUGAUGCACAAUCCAUGUGCUUAACAUCCUUUCCACUUUUUUCAUAAUAGAGCUUCAAGAUUAUGAUGUCUUAGUUGCAAUCAAUGAGGUUCCAUAUUGGGCAUUUUCAUUUUUGAAGCAUUAUUAUGUAUCAUGCACAGUGUCAACUCACAAAGGCCAAACACACACUUGUUAUCAACUGUGUGUUACCUCCAUCAUAGCAGUUAAUUAUGUCCAUUUUCACAUCACUGGUUAAGGCUUUUUGCUAUUUUUGGGGGCACACUGGCACCCUUGGCACUCAGUCAUGAUACAAGGGUUAGAGUCUAUUGCUACAGCAAGAACAUGUACAAACCAUACACACAAAUGAUAAUACUGUAUCACAUAAGAUGGCUACGUAAGAACAGACUGAGUGAGGCGGGAAGCCGUGGAAGCUGCCGACACACACAGCACUGUGCUUGCAAUGUCUUUUAACCGUGCUGCCAGUCCAUGUUGGCGACAAACUCAGUCUUGUGACUAAUUGCUUUAAACCAAAAUCCCGCUCACAUAAAAUAAAAAAGAGUAUAAAUGGAACGCACUCGGUAUUCCAGACAUGUUAAAUGAUUUCACAUAAAACGCGAUGAGGCUAUAUUAUGCUUUGUUUAUCUUUUACUCCGUGAAUGUAAAGUCUAACAUCUGGGUAAUUGCAAUGCGAAUGAAAUAAUGAUCUCAUAAAGUUGACACAUUCUUAUAAUAUUGCUCACCAUUAAUGACAAGCAUUUUAGUGUGGAAGAUGUUUGCCAGGUGGUGGUACAGUGUAAUAUUGCAGUUGUGUUACAUGUUCAUAUGUUAAACAGUACACCCUUGAUAUACCAUGACAGUUCUCAGUCCCACUCUAACAUUAAAUCAAGGGUAUAUCAAGGUUCUACUGUUUGGCAUAUACAUUGUAAGAGGAUUCAUGAGGGGGGCCCAUACUACCUCAGGUUAGGAUAUCACUGAUCAGUGGACUCUGCACUUUAGUUCCUAAUGAUUCUUACCUAAAAAGCUCAUCAGUAUAUCUAAAUAGACAUCUCAGGUUUGUUUGGAAGAAACUAAAUCAGAGCUAAAUUUCCUCAAGAAACAUUGUAUAGCAUUUUAAUGCUGGGAUGUUCAGAUUCUGGUAAUACACAUUGACAUCUAUAAUGUGAAAGGUGGGUUUUAGUGUGGUUACGUCUUAUGGUAAAUUCGGUAAAAAAAAGUAUCUUUACAAUUCUUGUGAGAAACAAAAUGACAUCACGAAUGAAGGUUUUUGAUAAAGGCUCGUAAGGCAUACUGUUAUUCACCACUCUUAAUGCAACGAACUAAUUUUAUAAUUUGAAUGAAAUAACUAAAUUAACCUACCAUAAUAGGUAGUAAAUGUCUCACAAUCACACCUACCAACCCUAAUGAGACAGCAGGAUUGUUCAGUUCCAAAUUCAUCUGACCCCUCCUGAAAGAUAAUUAUUUUUACCGAGUGUACAUGUGAUUAACUUGGAAAAAAGAGAGACUGGUUAUCUUUCUCAGGAUCAGAGCAUACAGCAAACACACACACCACUUUGUCUUUUCUAUAAGCCUAUUUUACUUCUUACUUAUUUCUUUAAAGUGUCAUCUUGAUCAUGAUACCUUUCUCUGUGCUUGACGAAUGGCUUUGUGCCACUGUUACUGAAGGUGAUCUAAGUAUAUUGAGGGGAAGUGAAGUGGCUUAGUUUACAUACAUUGACACUAGUUAUGUCCAGGUCAUUAUGUACUGUACCAAGCACUAGAAAAGGUUAGUUUAAUCCAUAUUUUAUGAGUGUUACAGAUGGCAGGUCAUGAGAUAAUUCCUGUCAUUCUUAUACUGAACAGUAUAUUGAAUUUUCUUAUCAUUACAGUAUAACCUCGGAAAUUUGUAAAUCACUUAUAUGAGUCACUCAAAACUGGUACAGGUACUGUACCUUAAAAAAAAAUACUGAAAACAAAAUAACUCGGCUGGUUUCAUAUGUGACAAUGUUUCCUCUGUGGUUUUGUGAAUUUCCGCUCGUAAAAUGUGAACAGAAUCACUAAUUUAAAUCUCAGGAUUUAGCCAACCUCUGCCAUCCUCCUGUGGUUUCUGAUCAUUCUCUCUUACUUACUUUCUCAGGUGUGUAUAUUGUGGAGGAAGUUGUCAGGUGUGUAUAUUGUGGAGGAAGUUGUCAAGAGUGUAUAUUGUGGAGGAAGUUGUCAGGUGUGUAUAUUGUGGAGGAAGUCUUCAGGAGUGUAUAUUGUGGAGGAAGUUGUCAGGUGUGUAUAUUCUAGAAAUAGUUGUCAGGUGUAUAUAUUCUAGAGUAAUUUGUCAGGUGUGUAUAUUAUGGAGGAAAAUAUCAUGUGUGUUCAGCCAUCUCUCAAAGGUUUGUUUAUUUUUAGGUGAUCAAGUCUCAUAUAUGAAACAAUUGCAGUAUUUAAAUUCAAAAUAAGUUUAGAAUACUGAAUACUACCUCUUGUUUUGUUAAGACAUAAAAGGCACGUUUUAGAAAAUGUGUCGGCGUGCACCAGCCAUAGCUUAAGAAGGAAAUCCAAUCAUUAUAAAAGUUUAAGGUUUGUUUAAUUGUAGUAUUGCAUGAAUAGUUAAAGGAUCAGGUAAGUUAAAAGUAAAACCAGCUGAGAACAUGGACUUAUACAACAAUUUUUCCAAGGAUGGCUAAAGUCAUAAUCAAGGGAUGAUGGACACCCACAUAGUUAGGCCAUUGCAGUCAGGAGGAGAGGUGUAGGAUCGAUAUGUUGCUCCACGUGAUUAGAUUCAUAUAUUUCUUGAAAUAAGGGACAUGAUUGAUUUGUGUUAUAUAUGCCUCUGAUUAUAGUCAUAAUGAAAAGCACAAUUCUUUUUACUGAAUUAACUUGAGUGUAGCUUACCUUAUGAUCUGAAGUCUUCCAAUGAAGUAAAAUCACAAGUCGUUAGCAUGAUGUCUCUCCCCAAACUGAAGUAACUUACUGGUUCAGACCUAUUUUAUAUGAACUGUGAGGCUGACUCAUAGACAUUGUUGUGUUGGCACUUAUGAUGUUGAUACUUUUCUGUGUAUGAUACCGGGAAGAGGUUGACCCCAUCACACUGUGUCAUGACUCUGGUUGUUGGCAAGACUCAUCAGUCUCUUUGAUUGUUACAAGAAAAACUGAAUUGUAACUUACUUGGGAACCUUCACUACAGAAAUGUUUUAUCGUUUUGAGAGGAGGAACUUGUUAUAAAAAACUGGAAAAUUCACAAGCCCAGUUUAGUCUGGGUCCCACCAGUACUGGGUUAUUCAGAUUGUUUUGUACUUAUAUCAUGUUAGGGGAUAGUUGGACUAGUGUGGUGGUGUCAGGAGUUACAUAUUGAUUGUGUGUGGAUGAUUAUGUUCUUACUGGUUGGUUUAUCAUACCUGGGAUAGAUGGGGUACACAGCUCUCAUUACUGUGCAGUACUUCAUUUUAAUCCGCUAAAACCCUGCCCCCAUAUAUAUAUUUUGUUAGUUUAUUACUUAAAUGUUCAGUAUUAAAAGAUUGAAAAUCGUAUGAAAAAAAUUGGAAAAUAUUCACCUCCAGUGCUAAGCUAAUAGAGAUUGACAUUCUCUCCUCGCCAUCAAGAUAGAAAGUGGGGGUUGGGAAUGUCCUGAGUCAAUAGGGAACAAUACAUAUUUUGUCAGCACUCUGCAUGUAAGUAGCUAAGCCAGCUUAAUUACCUUUGGGCAAGUCUUGUGUGUGAGUCAUGGGGAUAUGGGUUUAAGCACAGUUAAGGUGACAGGAGUAGCUUCCUAUUUUGAAAAAAAUCUGAAAGAUGAGAAUGCUUCUGUAUCAGUCUCCCUUCCUCCCUCAAAUUAAUUUUGUCCAGGUGGGCAAUGAAGAGGUGGUGGAUGAUGGAAACAGUGUGGAUUUACCCUGCCAUGGCUUGAUGUCUCAUUCUUUGUUAAAUGGAUGUGUCACUACUUUCUCUUGAUCUCCUUUGGUAACAGUGUCUCUCCAGUCCAGUAGCAUAGAGAGAAGCCUCUGUAAUUCAAACAGUGCCCAAAUAGAAAAAAAGGGUCACUUUUCAAACUUUUUUUAUUAAUAUGAUGUAUAUGGCAGAGUGGUUUGUGUAAGCUUGCCUUUCAGAAUAACUAUACUUUAUAUUUGUUUCCAGCAUAGAAAAUGCCUAAUCCUCAAGCUCAAUAGACUUUUACUAAACAUAGUUAGACAAGAUUAGCCUUCCUCUCCAGUGUAUACAGUGUAUUUGCCAACAUAUAAUGUCACCUGACCUUUGGUGCCCAUUUGCUAUUUUUCUAUUCCCUUUGUUGCACUAGUACUCACCUCAGUUAUUCUUCAUGUGCUCAAACACCUCAGUGCUACCUCAUUUCAUUGUUUUCUUUCAUUUAUUACAAGUCAUUAUAUGUAGAGCAUUUUGGUUAUAACUACUGUAGUAUUCAAAACAUGUAGUACCAGAUAGAGAGGCUCUUAUUAGCUCUACUUUUAUAUAAAUUUCCUUCUUGAACUUAUUAUCUAAGCAUACCAUAUAUAUACCUGUACCCUCUAUAUUUUACAUACACACAUACAUACAUACAUACAUACAUACAUACAUACAUACAUACAUACAUACCAUCCUUUGUUUUUCCCCUUAGUUUAUCCAUUAAUUACUGUCUAAUUAAUAUUGAUAUGAAUCAUUAUUCUACCAUACAGUUGUUUACUUUGCCAAUACAUUUUUAGAAACACAUCAAAACCUCUUUUAUUCACUUUUAUUUUAUCCGAGCCAUUUUUGUUUAGUUUUGAUUUUUCAACCUCAUAUCAUCACUUUUUUAUCCAGCUCCAUUUCAUUCGCUUUUCACAUCAUAUAUGUUCUUAGAUCACCCUAUUCAUUACACAUUCCAUUCCUUGACUUGAUCAUUUUAUCCUUAGACCUUCAUCUUUACACCUUGUUGAUUGAUUUGGUAUUUAAGUAUUUUCAGUAAUUAUAUAACAUUGAAUGAGUUAUGUAACAAGAGAGAGAGAGUGAGGUAGAAUGGUCAGGCAUUACCAGCAGCAUAAGUGAUGACAGGAAGAGUUCAAAUAAUAACCCAUUUGUACAGUUUAUAGUUGACACAUACUUUUUCUUGUACUGUAAUUAUGCUGUUAUGCAAUAUCUAUGGUACUGUUUCUUUAGAGUUGGUGUUAAUGUUAAUGCUGAUACUGUAAUGAGAAACUGAAUUAGUUUUUGUCAUUAUAUCAUUGAGCAUAUAAUGUAUAACUAACUUAUAUUGGGCAUAUGAGUUCGGUUUCUCUAAAGGAAACAAGUAGCUGAAAAUAAGGCUGUAAUUUUGAAUUCAUAGAGGAAAUAUGAUGCAUCUCAGCCUUGCACCACAUACUUAAAGUUUGAAUGUGAUAAGAAAAAAAUACAGUUAGAUCCAGACCUAGGUUCUCAAAGGCUCGUACAUUAUAUUUACAACCUAAAUGGAGUACUGUACAGGUGUCCAUCAAUUUACGAAAGGGUUCUGUUCCAGAAAACCAUUUAUAAAUCGAUCCCUGCUUGUACUGUUUGCAUCUAACUGCCUUGGUUAAGCUAUAAUACAAAAAUGUAAGGAGAGAGUUUUCAUAGUUGUUCUGAGGCUGAUCUGUAACUAAAUGUAUUUCCCUUUGCCAUGUUACAAGAGGAAAUGAAUGUACAAAUCUGUGUUCCUCUGGGCCCAGGAUGGGAGGUGUGUGUGUUUCUUUACUCAAUAAUUUGGAGGUUUAAUAUAAAACUGAAAAUUUGUCUUGUACAAAAUGAUUUACUGUACUUGUGUCCUGUGGAAUAGUAAUAUUUAAGGUACUUUGGGAGGUAAUGAAAAUUUCAUUAUGACUUGUGGUAUUUGUUUUUGUUAUUGUUAAUGAUGAGUAAGUUAUACCAUUUCUCUCACCAGCUUUUGUUAUAGUUUAUGUGCAAUAAUAUAUAGCAAUAUCCCAGUACUAUAUUGUUAAAAUCUUAAAAGAGAUGAUUUCACCAUAGAUGAUUAUUAGGGGGACAUUAUGUUCAUUACGAAUAUUAGGGUUGAACAAAAGUCUCAUCUCUCUCACUAGAAUUUUUUUUAUUCUACAUUAUGACACUGAUGUUUCUAUAACAAACUUGAGUAAUAAAAUGUGAAGAACAUUGUGGCCAAAGGUAGAUUAUUUGUAGAAAAUGAUAUACAUACAAGAUCUGGUAAACUGGUUUCUUGAUUAUCUCAAUAUACCAUAGCUUUGAUGUUUUUGUUGGGAUACCUUAUACUAUAUAAAGGUUGGCAAGAAAUAGCUUGACACUUUAAACCUAUAUAAAUUCUGCCAUUAUGAUCAUACAAGAUACACAAUACUGUACUGUAUAUUGUACAUACUGCACAGUAUACAUUUACAUACUACACAUCUUGCAUAAUACAUAACAUACACAUGUGAAAAAUAUAUGCAGUCGAAGUACACACAUUGUUUUUACUCAGGCAGCUGCUUGUUAUGUGUCGGUUAUAUCUCGCCCACCCUGGAUAGUACAGUAAAUAAAUUAUAUGAUUAUUAACAAAGACAUUAAAGUUUAUUACCCAGGAUAGUUACAUAAACUGGUUCAUAGUAUUAGAUAAAUAAAAGUUUUGCUGGACAAGCCUUCAGUGAUAAGUUAAUCAGGCUUUCAGUGUGUUAAAACCUCUAUUUAUUGGUAACUGAAUUAAUAAGGGCUGUUUUAUAUAAAGAAAGUGCUUUAUAACUCAAAGGGAGCUCUAGGUGCUUCAUCACUUUCAUGGGGAAAAUUUUCACCAAGUCUUUCCAAAUGAUGGAAGCAUUGAGCACAGUAACUGCAUUUACAUUUUACAUCAAAAGUAACUUUAUUUACAAGUUAAAGCACAAAGUAAAAUAAAUUUCAAGUUACAGCACAAAGUACAUUAUUUAAAAAUUAUAGCACUAAAGUAGCAUCAUUUAAAAGUUACACCAUUGAGUAACAUUAUUUACAAGUUACAUUAGAGGUGCUGAGUUUGAUGUAACUUCUUUUUGGCUUCUUGUACAACAUUUGAAAUCUCAAGAGUUAUUUGCACCAUACAGUGUAGCUAGGGUCUGAUAGAUGGUUGAUAAGCUUAGUAUGUGCUGUUCUUUAAUUGGUGUUUGUGUGUGUCAGGUCAAAGAAAUUUGAAUCCUCAGUGAAUUGAAGACAUUUAUUUUGAAGCUGGAGUCUGUUUGUACUGUAUGUGGCCAAUGUGCGGCAAAUCAGCCACUCAUCCUCAUAGGAUUUGUAGGUGUGUUCAUGUCCAUUGUUGUUGAUAAUAAGUACCAAGGUUUGAAUAAAUGAAAUAGAAGUUUGUAUUAAAUAAAUGAAAUAGAAGAUUGUAUUAGAUGCAGUCUGUGCACAAUUUGAUUAGCAUUAUUUCCAGGAAACAUUAGCUGUUCUUGUUAUUGCACAUUAUACUUAAGGUUUUUGUACAGUUAUAUGAUAAUUUUAAGAUUUUUUUUACAAAUUAUUUAUAAAAUUAAUAUGUGAAAUAUUUUCCUCAAGUGUUUUAUCAUUGCUGCGUCAAUCAAUCAUUUAUAAGUAUUUAGAAGUUGGAUUAUGUUAUGUUGUAAGGUUACACUGAUAUAAUGUUAUGUUUGUAUACCCGUGUCUUUAUGUUCAGGAGAACACAGUAGUUGUGUAGCACACUAACAGAGCCUGAAUUACAGACAAAGCAUUUUUGACAUAUUUUGGUGUUGUCCUUUAUAUGCACCACAGAAUUAUGUAAAAAUGUUUUAUUACCAAUGAAAAGGUGUUCAUUUGUGUCCUGGUGUUUAUUUAUUAUUAUUUUAAGUUUCAAGUGAUGUUGUGAUUGGAAUUGUUGACUGGUUGUGUUUCCUGAAUAUUACUCAGUGUCGUCACCCAGUUUUUAUUUGUUUGUUGAUGGCUGCACCUCAUUCUUUAGAUACACAAGCCUGGUUUGACCUACCAAUGCAAUAUUACUGAUCCAGUUUACCUAUCAGGAAUCUAACAGUUCUUAGGAUCCAGUCCCACUUUGGCACUAAGCAUCUAGUGAUGCUUAUCAUGAACAAAAUGGUUUAACGAUGUGAGCCUUCAAUCCUAGCCAUUUUCACAAGCCACUUGUGCUGUAUCUAUUGUAUGGGGUCAUCAGUACAAGGCUGCUUUAAUUAUAUGUGAAAAUGCAGGCAUUAUAAGGAUAUAUUAAAUAUGAAUGAUUUUCAGUGGAAUUUAGAAAACAGCUGCUGUCACACAAGGUAAAAUAUAAUUUUAAUAUAGCCUUCUCCUUGAACACUUCUGCUAUCAAAUAAGGAUUGUUAUUUUGAAAUUAAAUUUCAGGAUUACUUUUGUUAAUGUUCUUUUGUUUAUAUAAUGUGUUAUACCAUGGGCAGUGCCACAGAUCUUUUUGUAAAUAUAUAUUUUUAUUCAGGUU
This 10073-nucleotide long non-coding RNA is filed under the name Homarus americanus (American lobster). Its description in RNAcentral is "uncharacterized LOC121878996". Lineage: Eukaryota; Metazoa; Arthropoda; Malacostraca; Decapoda; Nephropidae. The record is from RNAcentral.